Molecule: transfer RNA, 77 nt
Filed under: Armatimonadota bacterium
Lineage: Bacteria; Bacillati; Armatimonadota
Description: Armatimonadetes bacterium (groundwater metagenome) tRNA-Asp
Rfam family: tRNA
About the family: Transfer RNA (tRNA) molecules are approximately 80 nucleotides in length. Their secondary structure includes four short double-helical elements and three loops (D, anti-codon, and T loops). Further hydrogen bonds mediate the characteristic L-shaped molecular structure. tRNAs have two regions of fundamental functional importance: the anti-codon, which is responsible for specific mRNA codon recognition, and the 3' end, to which the tRNAs corresponding amino acid is attached (by aminoacyl-tRNA synthetases). tRNAs cope with the degeneracy of the genetic code in two manners: having more than one tRNA (with a specific anti-codon) for a particular amino acid; and 'wobble' base-pairing, i.e. permitting non-standard base-pairing at the 3rd anti-codon position.
Source: RNAcentral
GGGGUCGUCGUUCAGCGGUUUAGGACAUCUGCCUGUCACGCAGAAGAUCGAGGGUUCGAAUCCCUUCGGCCCCGCCA